Molecule: long non-coding RNA, 214 nt
Filed under: Mytilus galloprovincialis (Mediterranean mussel)
Lineage: Eukaryota; Metazoa; Mollusca; Bivalvia; Mytilida; Mytilidae
Source: RNAcentral
UGGUUUACUACUGUGUGUAUAACUGUUUGCUAAAUAUCUGUCAAAUUGUAGUUUUCAGGUAUAUGAGAAUUAGAGACAUGGGAACAUAAGUUGUCUAUUGACAAUAAAAUAAAGAACUAUAUUUGAUGUGCAACAAGUACCAAUUACAAACUAUCAAACAUAGAUCAACUGCAAUAAAGUUGACAAACUACAAUAAACUCAUUAUAGAUACCAG